RNAcentral lists this ribosomal RNA (838 nucleotides) under uncultured bacterium. RNAcentral's name for it is "bacterial SSU rRNA". It matches the Rfam family "Bacterial small subunit ribosomal RNA", at positions 524 to 1381 of the family's 1533-position model. The record is from RNAcentral.
GACGGAGGAUGCAAGUGUUAUCCGGAAUCACUGGGCGUAAAGCGUCUGUAGGUGGUCAAAUAAGUCAACUGUUAAAUCUUGAGGCUUAACCUCAAAAUCGCAGUCGAAACUAUUAGACUAGAGUAUAGUAGGGGUAAAGAGAAUUCCCAGUGUAGCGGUGAAAUGCGUAGAUAUUGGGAAGAACACUAAACAGCGAAGGCACUUUACUAGGCUAAUACUGACGCUGAGAAACGAAAGGUAAGGUAGCGAAACGGAUUAGAUACCCGUGUAGUCUUACCCGUAAACUAUGGACACUAAACGGUAAAUUUUUAAUUUACUGUUAAAGCUAACGCGUUAAGUGUCCCGCCUGGGGAGUAUGCUUGCAAAAGUGAAACUCAAAGGAAUUGACGGGGGCCCGCACAAGCGGUGGAGCAUGUGGUUUAAUUCGACGGUACACGAAGAACCUUACCAGGAUUUGACAUGCUAGAUAGUUGCUUGAAAGAGUAACGUGCCGUAAGGAAUCUAGACACAGGUGGUGCAUGGCUGUCGUCAGUUCGUGUUGUGAAAUGUUGGGUUAAGUCCCGCAACGAACGCAACCCUUGUCUUUAGUUAUUUUCUAAAGAGACUGCCUGUAAUAAACAGGAGGAAGGUAAGGAUGAGGUCGAGUCAUCAUGCCCCUUAUGUCCUGGGCUACACACGUGCUACAAUGGGAAAGACAAUGAGCUGCAAAUCUGUAAAUUUAAGCAAAUCUCUUAAACUUUCUCGUAGUUCGGAUUGUGGGCUGCAACUCGCCCACAUGAAGUUGGAAUCGCUAGUAAUCGCCAGUCAGCUAUAUGGCGGUGAAUCCGUUCCCGGGCCU